UCGAACGAUGAAGCCCUUCGGGGUGGAUUAGUGGCGAACGGGUGAGUAACACGUGGGCAAUCUGCCCUGCACUCUGGGACAAGCCCUGGAAACGGGGUCUAAUACCGGAUAACACCCCCUCUCGCAUGGGAGGGGGUUGAAAGCUCCGGCGGUGCAGGAUGAGCCCGCGGCCUAUCAGCUUGUUGGUGAGGUAGUGGCUCACCAAGGCGACGACGGGUAGCCGGCCUGAGAGGGCGACCGGCCACACUGGGACUGAGACACGGCCCAGACUCCUACGGGAGGCAGCAGUGGGGAAUAUUGCACAAUGGGCGAAAGCCUGAUGCAGCGACGCCGCGUGAGGGAUGACGGCCUUCGGGUUGUAAACCUCUUUCAGCAGGGAAGAAGCGAAAGUGACGGUACCUGCAGAAGAAGCGCCGGCUAACUACGUGCCAGCAGCCGCGGUAAUACGUAGGGCGCAAGCGUUGUCCGGAAUUAUUGGGCGUAAAGAGCUCGUAGGCGGCUUGUCACGUCGGUUGUGAAAGCCCGGGGCUUAACCCCGGGUCUGCAGUCGAUACGGGCAGGCUAGAGUUCGGUAGGGGAGAUCGGAAUUCCUGGUGUAGCGGUGAAAUGCGCAGAUAUCAGGAGGAACACCGGUGGCGAAGGCGGAUCUCUGGGCCGAUACUGACGCUGAGGAGCGAAAGCGUGGGGAGCGAACAGGAUUAGAUACCCUGGUAGUCCACGCCGUAAACGGUGGGCACUAGGUGUGGGCAACA
This 752-nucleotide ribosomal RNA is filed under the name Streptomyces sp. G-41-5. RNAcentral describes it as "bacterial SSU rRNA". It matches the Rfam family "Bacterial small subunit ribosomal RNA", at positions 62 to 831 of the family's 1533-position model. Lineage: Bacteria; Bacillati; Actinomycetota; Actinomycetes; Kitasatosporales; Streptomycetaceae. The record is from RNAcentral.